Long non-coding RNA from Tetranychus urticae (two-spotted spider mite), 2836 nucleotides. RefSeq lists it as uncharacterized. The record is from RefSeq and is a predicted model, not a curated record. NCBI's taxonomy places the organism in Eukaryota, Metazoa, Arthropoda, Arachnida, Trombidiformes, Tetranychidae.
GUAAACCACUAACCAAAUUAAGACUCAAUCCUUGAACCGAUUCACAGAGUCUUCAAUGGCAAGAUAAUUGAAAUUGAAGCUUCAUAGUCUUACGUCUUUAUUGACUGUCUUAGUCCAAAAAAUUUCAAAGACUUUCACUGAAUCGUGAAGAGACACAAAAAAACAGGUAAAAAUUGACAACGAAUUGAGGUUUGUAAAAAGUUACACUGUAAAAGGAACAAAAGAAGAGAAAAAAAUUGUUAAAUGAUGAAAAUUUGCAAGAAAUUGACACCAUUUUCAAGUGAAAUAUCGCUUUUUUGCUUUCCUUUCCUCUGUAUAUUCAAUUCGUUCACUUUCAGCAAUCAUUGUCAGCUCAGAGUUGAAAAUAGAUUUCAUUUAUUUCAAUGUCUGCAGCUUUGAGUCUUGUAUGGACAUGAGAAGUUAAGAAAAUGUAACUUUCUAUUUGAACUGGUUAGAUCAUUUGUUUGUCUGUCUAUUGUUUAGUAAUUGCUAAUCACAAUUCAUCAGUUAACAUAAGAGUUCACACUUGAAUCACUUUUUCUAGUGAAAAGAUACUUUUUGUUCUUGCUGUAGACGUUAGAAAGUGUGAAAAGAAUAUAAAACGAAGAUAAGAUAAAGGAAUUGUAUUGGCUGAAAAAAGGAUUAGAUGAAAAUGAGUCUUGUUUUUGACACUAAAAAUGGCACCGUUGAAAAUGGCGUCGAUGAGAGAAGAAAUGAAAAGCUGUUGAUUGGGAAAAGGAUAAAAAGCGCCAAAACAACGAUCACUGUUGAUUUCAUGUUUUUUUGUCUACUUUAUUUAUCUUCUAUCACAUUAAUGGUUCAUCGCUCAUUCACUUUCAUCACCUUUAACUGAGCUUCUUCAAUUCAUUAACAUCAUGUUUGGAUCACAGUUUGUUUUUUUGAUCCUUCUGUUGUCUUCUUUUGGUGCUUUUCAAUCUGUUUUACUUGUGUGUUUUGUGACUAAAAACAAAAGGUUAACAUCUUUUUGGAUUCACCUUCUAUUGCGAGCAUUUAUUGAUCAUCUUCAUCUUUACUAUUCAGUGGCAAAUUUACAAACAAUGGUCUUCAAUUGGUCUCCCUCCAUUUCAAGUGAUGGAUGAUGUCGGAUGAAAAGUGUAUUGAAGAAGCUUCCAGUUGAUACCUGCCAAUGGAUAAAAGGAUAACAAAAAAAGUAUCUGAUUAACCAAUUAUCGGAAAUAUAAAUGGACCUAACCAACAUGGAAUAAUAACUGUCUCUUUCAAUGGACUUUUACUCUACUCAAGCUAUUGGUUGCUUUUUGUGUGCACAUUGUGAACCGGUUAUAAGUCAUGAUUCAAAGUCAAUCCAUUGAACAAUAUAAUUAACAAUAUAACGGUUUUAUUUAAUUGGAUGAUGGUUCAACUGGUGAAUGGAUCAGAAGUUAAUAUAUCCUGAGAGGAAAUUUAAUUCGUGUUGGAAUCUCAAUUGGAAACAAUUAAUGGUUCAAAAUGUCGCUAAAUAAAGAUUUAACCAUGACUUGCCAAUAUGGACUUGAAGCCAUGAUCAGCCAUUAUCUUACUUCUCCUCUUCGUCUGAUCAUCUUUUUGCCUCUUGUUUCUCAACAAUAAAUUAUACUGCGUUUUAAGGCCAAUCGAUUUAGAGCCCAUCAAUCCAUCUGAUCAACCAUUAAUCUGCCAAAUUAUCUAUCAAAUUAGUCCAUUAAAGUUAGGCCAGUUGAAGAAGGUCGCUAGGCUAUAAGAGUUAUCUUCAUCUUGAUCAUCAUCCUUUUACAAGGUUUUUGUUUUGUUUCAACUCAAGGAAGGAAAAUAAUACGGAGAAGAGCAAAAUAUGAUGAUUGUGAUGAUAAAGAAAGAAAUGAAAAUGGUGAAUCAGGUGAAAAAAUAUAUUGAGAUAGAAAGGCUAAGAUAUUACCGGUUAACCCCGAGAAAUGGAUUGAGAUGGCAAAAAAAGGUGUUGAAGCAGUAAACGAGGCAAAAGAAGAGCAGAUUAAUCAAAAUUGAUGAGUAACCUUAAUGAUUGCUGUUAGUUAAUAAAAUCAAAUGGUUUGGCUUGGAAUCGAUGGUGAUUAGAAUAGUCAACAAGAUCAUUAAAAGUAAAGGUCUAUGGAUCAGUUGGAUUGCUAAUAAUCAUAAGAGAUCAUUUACUGAUCCAUGAGAAGAGAAACAUUGAAUUAACAUGGGAACCAGAAAAAUAAUCAAAAUGGCUUAAUAAAAGGAUUACAUACUGCUAAUGAGGUCAUCAUUAGGACGAUGAACGAACUUUAAAAGUAACAUCAUUAACACUAAGUUGAAGUCCAAUUGGUCGAGCAAUUGACCUUUUCAAAGCUUAACUUUCCACCAUUCACCAUUAACAUUAUCACCAAGCAAAUAAAUAAUAAAAAGAGUACAAUGGUAAAAACUAGUGGAUUAAACAAUCAAGGUGCAGUUACGCAUGAAGGGACGAUAAACAUGAUUGCAAGUAGCAAACGACAAGAUGAUUAAUUAACCCUGUUGUUAACAAAAUCAUCAUUGACGGGGUUGAUCUUGAAUCUAUCUUGAAUGUUUUCAUAACCUAAAGAAAGAUAAGUGAAUAUUUUUCUGGUGUAACUUUGAAUGACAAUUAACUUAAACUUGUCAACCUUGUUUGAUACAAGUAAAAACAAAACAACAACAAUCAAAAAUAAUUGUUUUGUUUGUCUUUCUUUUUCUAGCUCAACACUGGUAACUGGAAUGAUAAACGCUGGUAGUUAUGAGCAUUCAGUAGCAGAAGAAGGUUAAACAAUUUGAAGAUGAUGAUAAUACAAUGGAUAAGACAAUUGUUUUCCAGAUGAGCAACUAUUCACAUUAUGUGCGUUAUUUUAUGUGAAAAUUAUAUGGA